RNAcentral lists this ribosomal RNA (600 nucleotides) under Triticum aestivum (bread wheat). RNAcentral's name for it is "partial small subunit ribosomal RNA". Lineage: Eukaryota; Viridiplantae; Streptophyta; Magnoliopsida; Poales; Poaceae. The record is from RNAcentral.
AUGGCAUGUUUCAAAUUGCCUCGUGGCCUGUGUGAACACAUCAAUGGUCUACUCCGGAAAUUUUGGUGGGGUGGCCAAGCAGGGCAGAGGAAGCUGGCAUGGGUAUCUUGGAGAACUAUGUGCAAGCCUAAGCAUAUGUGAGUCAUGGGGUUUCAAGAUAUUGAACUCUUGAAUCUUGCAUUGCUAGCAAGGCAAGUAUGAUAUUUACUUCAGGAGUCGGAUACUCUUAGCAGUAGAGUUUUAAAAGCUAGACACUACGCCCAAACUGACAUUUUGCAAGCAACUUUAGGCUCACACCCAUCCCAAGUUUGGCGGUCUCUGAUAGAGGGGAGAGAUGUUCUUGAGAUAGGAAUCAUCCGAAGAAUCGGGACAGGUGGUGAAACUCAUAUCUGGCACGACAACUGGCUACCACAAGAUUACAAACUAAGACCGAUAUGCCCUAUCACAGCAGUCCCACCUCAAUUGGUCUCGGAGCUGAUUGAUCCAGUUACGUGCUCGUGGAAGAGGCAGGUGAUUAAUGAGAAUUUUAUUGCACCGGAUGUAGAUGUAAUUCUAAACAUACCGUUGAGCAGAAGGGUACAGCCGGACUUCUGGGCAUAG